CCGGCCAUAUCACAUUGAAACGCCUGUUCUCGUCCGAUCACCGAAGUUAAGUAACUUUCAGCCUGGUCAGUACCUAGAUGGGUAUUAACUUGGCAAUAGCCGGUGGUGUAUG
Molecule: non-coding RNA, 112 nt
Organism: Acanthosepion pharaonis
Lineage: Eukaryota; Metazoa; Mollusca; Cephalopoda; Sepiida; Sepiidae
Source: the annotation of a GenBank genome assembly